Molecule: ribosomal RNA, 349 nt
Filed under: uncultured rumen bacterium
Lineage: Bacteria
Description: partial 16S ribosomal RNA
Source: RNAcentral
AUUCCCCACUGCUGCCUCCCGUAGGAGUAUGGACCGUGUCUCAGUUCCAUUGUGGGGGACCUUCCUCUCAGAACCCCUACCCAUCGUCGCCUCGGUGGGCCGUUACCCCCCCGACUAGCUAAUGGGACGCGAGCCAAUCCGUGACCACCGGAAUUUUUAAUGAAGAACCAUGCGAUCCUCCAUCGUAUGGGGGGUUAGGCGACGUUUCCAUCGGUUAUCCCCCGGUCACGGGCAUGUCGCUCACGCGUUACGCACCCUUGCGCCGGUCGCCGCCAAUUGUAUUACUACAACCGCGCUGCCCCUCGACUUGCAUGUGUUAAGCCUGCCGCCAGCGUUCAUCCUGAGCCAA